AUAUGCCUUUACUACCGAUAACCGUUUGAAAAAUGCUAUGGCACCAAAGGCUAAGCUAAGUACGCUGUUGGUUAGGUGGGCCCAAGCAUGAGGGCGGACAGAGUGGGCGGAUCAGCUUAGAUAAUGGUGGUCUGUGAUGGGGUACGCAAUUUAGAAGCGAAGUAGCUGAUUUCAAACUGUCAAGAACAGUCUCUAUCGAGGUUAAAGUAACCCGUACCGCAAACCGACACAGGUGGGUGAGGCUAGUCUCC
RNAcentral lists this ribosomal RNA (251 nucleotides) under Clostridioides difficile. Its description in RNAcentral is "partial 23S ribosomal RNA". The record is from RNAcentral. Lineage: Bacteria; Bacillati; Bacillota; Clostridia; Peptostreptococcales; Peptostreptococcaceae.